ACAGAUGUACCUGUCAAGCUGCCUCCGGCGGCGACCAUACAUACCCCCUACCUUCUUGAAGUUUGCCCAGCUGUGUGCAGUUUAAACACAUGGCACAUUUAGCGUCAGCAGUGGAAGAGGAGCGUCUUAAACAAGCUGAAAAGUGUGUUUUAUUCAGUUGUCUUUCCCACAACUUGAAGUCUUAAGAUUGGGCUAAUUGGUGACUCUAAACUGACCCAGUAUGGACCUACAUGGGGUUUCAGUGUUGUUUCCUGUCUUAAUUGAACAAAAUGGCUUCAGAAAAAAAAAAAAUCUGCUGUAAAGUACACAAGCCUAAGUUUCCCAUGCUGAAGAGUGUGAUGCUUUGGAAACUGGAACUUUCCUUCUGGUUCUCCUUCCUGAUAAAGUUGGCAACCACCCCAGAGAACCUAAAAGAUACUGCUCCCCACAUAGAGAAGACAUACGUCAACCAAGAAAGACCCAACCCACCAUAGCAUUUUUAUUCCUCUGCCCUCUUGCAGGUGGUUUAGAGCUCUACAUGCCUGCACUACCAGAUUGAAGAAGAGCUUUCAUGUCAAAGUCUAUUAAAUGCACAGUGAUCACUGCCCCUUUCUAGAACUAAAACCAUCACUGAUUAAACUGAACUUCUGCAUCCACCACACACAGUCACACACUUAUACAUGACCCAAGUGGAACUCAUGACCAUUACCUUGACUGUAAUCUUCUCUUGGACUUCAUUUAUUUUUAUCCAUUUUACAUAUUUACCUUUGCUUUUGCUCUAUGUAUAUUUGGAACUGUUAAUGGUAAUUGUGCUUCUCAUAGUUUAAUGUUUAUUUAGUUUAUCACCUACUCUUAUAGUAUAUACAUUUAUCUAAGGCAUCUUAUAGGUUUGCUCCAAAUGAAAUUUCAUUGUAUUGUACAGUGACAAUAAAAGUAUCUUGAAGA
This is a long non-coding RNA of Polypterus senegalus (gray bichir), 924 nucleotides long. RefSeq lists it as uncharacterized. The transcript has 3 exons. Lineage: Eukaryota; Metazoa; Chordata; Cladistia; Polypteriformes; Polypteridae. The record is from RefSeq and is a predicted model, not a curated record.